Molecule: long non-coding RNA, 1423 nt
Filed under: Numida meleagris (helmeted guineafowl)
Lineage: Eukaryota; Metazoa; Chordata; Aves; Galliformes; Numididae
Description: lncRNA (ENSNMEG00000000856.1)
Source: RNAcentral
GGGGGAUUUGGGGACAUUUGGGUGCCACUGGGUGAUGGUGGGCGCCCUUGGGUGCCACUGGGUGCCACUGGGUGCCCUUGGGUGCCACUGGGUGCCAUUGGGUGCCACUGGGUGCCACUGGGUACCAUUGGGUGCCACUGGGUGCCCUUGAGGUGCCCUUGGGUGCCAUUGGGUGCUAUUGGGUGUCACUGGGAGCCAUUGGAUGCCACUGGGUGCCCUUGGGUGCUAUUGGGUGCCACUGGGUGCCACUGGGUGCCAUUGUCUGCCAUUGUCUGCCAUUGGGUGCCCUUGGGCACCCUUGGGUGCUAUUGGGUGCCACUGAGAUACCACUGGGUGCCACUGGGAGCCAUUGGGUGCCACUGGGUGCCCUUGGGUGCCACUGGGUGCCACUGGGUGCCCUUGGGCGCCCUUGGGUGCCGUUGAGCACCCUUGGGUGACGCGUUGUCCCCGUGCCGGGCAGGCUUUGCCCGCUCGUUUGGCCAGGUGCUGCCGGGGGGGCAGCGGCGCGAGUGGGUGAAGCCGAUCAUGUUCAGCGGCGGCGUCGGCGCCAUCGAGGAGCGGCACGUGCACAAGGAGACCCCGCAGCCCGGUACCGCGCCCCAUAGCGACCCAUAGCGACCCAUAGCGACCCAUAGCCACCCAUAGCCACCCAUAGUGACCCAUAGAGACCCAUAGCCACCCAUAGCGAGACCCACAGCGACCCAUAGCGACCCAUAGCGACCCGUAGCGACCCAUAGCCACCCAUAGCGACCCAUAGCGACCCAUAGCCACCCAUAGUGACCCAUAGAGACCCAUAGCGACCCAUAGCGACCCAUAGCGCAACCCAUAGUGAUCCAUAGAGACCCAUAGCGACCCAUAGUGACCCAUAGCACGACCCAUAGUGACCCAUAGAGACCCAUAGUGACCCAUAGUGACCCAUAGCACGACCCAUAGCGACCCACUGCGACCCAUAGCGAAACAUAGCGACCCAUAGUGACCCAUAGCGAGACCCAUAGUGACUCAUAGAGACCCAUAGCGACCCAUAGUGACCCAUAGUGACCCAUAGCCACCCAUAGCGACCCAUAGCGAGACCCAUAGCGAGACCCAUAGUGACCCAUAGCCACCCAUAGCCACCCAUAGCCACCCAUAGCCACCCAUAGCGACCCAUAGCGACCCACUGCGACCCAUAGCGACCCAUAGCGACCCAUAGCGAGACCCAUAGCGACACAUAGCGACCCAUAGUGACCCAUAGUGACCCAUAGAGACCCAUAGCGACCCAUAGAGACCCAUAGCAAGACCCUUAGCGACCCAUAGCGACCCAUAGCGACCCACUGCGACCCAGAGCGACCCAUAGCAACCCCUAGCGACCCAUAGCGACCCAUAGUGACCCAUAGCGAGACCCAUAGCGACACAUAGUGCCACCCAUAGCGACCCAUAGCCACCC